GAAAUGCGAUAAGUAAUGUGAAUUGCAGAACUUUGUGAAUCAUCGAAUCUUUGAACGCAUCUUGCGCCCUUUGGGGCAUGCCUGUUUGAGUAUCAUUUAAAUCCUCACUCCUUCAAUUGAUGGUGUUAAAAAACCAAAAGUUGAUUGUGGUGGAUCAAUGAGGUUCCAGCUUGUAAUGAGUUGGUGCUUUGAAAGUUAACGACUUGGCUUGGUUCAUGCUUGAAACCAUCUCGAAGCGAGAAUCUCGAUUCUUGGGAUAUGGUCUAGUGAACUCUAGUUAAACCAGUCGACAAAGAAAGGGUUUUGGUUAACUCUUUUAAACUUGGUCUCAAAUCAGGCAAGACUACCCGCUGAACUUAA
Molecule: unclassified non-coding RNA, 360 nt
Filed under: uncultured fungus
Lineage: Eukaryota; Fungi
Description: sequence contains ITS1
Rfam family: 5.8S ribosomal RNA (bases 1-95)
Source: RNAcentral